ACCCGCUGAAUUUAAGCAUAUAAGUAAGUGGUGGAAAUUAAACCAACUGGGAUCUCUUCAGUAAUUGCGCAUGAACCAGGAUAUGCUUAGCUUGACAAAUGGAGCUGCUGGCUCUGAAUUGUAUUGUGGGAAUGUAUUACCAACAGAGGUGCAGGUGUCAGCCAUUUGAAAGAAAGCAUCAAUGAGGGUGAGAGUCCUGUUUGUCAUGUGCAGCCUUCUGUGCACGGUGUAUAUUUGCUGAGUCACACUCCUUGGCAUUGGAAUGCAAAGUGGGUGGUAAGUUUCAUGCAAAGGUAAAUAUGCAAUUGAGACUGGUAGCGCACAAGUACCAUGAGGGACAUAUGAAAAGGACUUUGAAAAGAGAAUUAAAUGAGUUUUUAUUUGCUAAACACAAAGUAAACAGACUUGAUUUCCUCAGUGAGAUUGUAGUGCUUGCUUAACAAUGGGUAUUGGCUGCAAGUGCAAUAAUUCUUGCUUUGUGUACCAGUUUUUAUGUGGACAUUUGGUUACCUGUGCACAUGAAUGGUAAUUUUCCUGCGGGGUGUGGAUUGCAUAUGCAUGUAAUGAUUUGCAUGUUUGUUAAAUGUGUCUGGUGUAUUUGUUUGUGUCCUUGUCCUUGAGGUUGCUUUCUCCCUUGGGCUUACAUGCCCUGGCACACACAUUCUGGCAAAAUGCUUCUGCUUGACCCGUCUUGAAACACGGUCCAAGG
RNAcentral lists this ribosomal RNA (709 nucleotides) under Alexandrium catenella. RNAcentral's name for it is "LSU rRNA". It matches the Rfam family "Eukaryotic large subunit ribosomal RNA", at positions 23 to 671 of the family's 3401-position model. Lineage: Eukaryota; Dinophyceae; Gonyaulacales; Pyrocystaceae. The record is from RNAcentral.